AUUGAACGCUGGCGGCAUGCCUUACACAUGCAAGUCGAACGGUAACAGGUCUUCGGAUGCUGACGAGUGGCGAACGGGUGAGUAAUACAUCGGAACGUGCCCGAUCGUGGGGGAUAACGGAGCGAAAGCUUUGCUAAUACCGCAUACGAUCUACGGAUGAAAGCAGGGGACCGCAAGGCCUUGCGCGGACGGGGCGGCCGAUGGCAGAUUAGGUAGUUGGUGGGAUAAAAGCAUACCAAGCCGACGAUCUGUAGCUGGUCUGAGAGGACGACCAGCCACACUGGGACUGAGACACGGCACAGACUCCGACGGGAGGCAGCAGUGGGGAAUUUUGGACAAUGGGCGAAAGCCUGAUGCAGCCAUGCCGCGUGGAGGAAGAAGGCCUUCGGGUUGUAAACUGCUUUUGGAGGGAAGGAAAAGACGCGAGUUAAUAACUGGGGGCAAGGACGGUACCGGAAGAAGAAGCACCGGCUAACUACGUG
This 482-nucleotide ribosomal RNA is filed under the name uncultured bacterium. Its description in RNAcentral is "partial 16S ribosomal RNA". It matches the Rfam family "Bacterial small subunit ribosomal RNA", at positions 29 to 507 of the family's 1533-position model. The record is from RNAcentral.